UGAGCUGGCGGAAGGGAGCAGGACGU
This 26-nucleotide non-coding RNA is filed under the name Cricetulus griseus (Chinese hamster). Lineage: Eukaryota; Metazoa; Chordata; Mammalia; Rodentia; Cricetidae. The record is from RNAcentral.